ACCAGGGUAUGUAACGUUGAGCGAAGGGUAUGGAUGUGAUCUGUAUUCUGAUAGCGUUACGCGUGGUGCAUGGCCGUUCUUAACACGUGGGGUGACUUGUCUGGUUAAAUCCGAUAACGCGUGAGACCCUGGAAAUUGACGAUACUUGACAAGAGUAGGGAAGCUCGGGUCGAUAACAGGUCUGUGAUGCCCGUAGAUAUUCUGGGCGCCACGCGCACUACAGUGGGAGAGGAACGUGAAACGGAACUCUCUUGCGGUUGGGAUUGACGUUUGUAAAUACGUCAUGAACGCGGAAUUCCUAGUAAUUUGUUGUCAUUAACGACAGAUGAAUGAGUCCCUGUUCUUUGUACACACCGCCCGUCGUUAUCUAAGAUGAAUGUGCGGAUGAAGUUGGUUAGGCCAAAAGAAUCCGUGCGAUUAGAUUGGAUACAAGUCGUAACAAGGUUGCGGUAGGAGAACCUGCCGCAGGAUCAAUAAAAAGAUCAUUGGGUUUUUAUAAUGUGGGUAACACAUUGCGUUCGAAGGAUCGAUUGGUUUUGGUGACGAUGACGAUUGUUGCUGUAUGCGAUAAUGAGUGAUAACAGCCUUGUUUAACUCGUUAUCUAAUUAUAGAUGCCAUCUAUGAUUACCCCUUGGGACUUAAGCAUAUCAUUAAAGGGGAGGAAAAGGAAACAACUGUGAUUUUCGA
This 688-nucleotide ribosomal RNA is filed under the name Microsporidium sp. MIC1. Its description in RNAcentral is "bacterial SSU rRNA". The stretch from base 1 to 476 matches the Rfam family "Microsporidia small subunit ribosomal RNA", at positions 844 to 1311 of the family's 1311-position model. Lineage: Eukaryota; Fungi; Microsporidia. The record is from RNAcentral.